Molecule: long non-coding RNA, 903 nt
Organism: Hemiscyllium ocellatum (epaulette shark)
Lineage: Eukaryota; Metazoa; Chordata; Chondrichthyes; Orectolobiformes; Hemiscylliidae
Exons: 4
Source: RefSeq, a predicted model, not a curated record
CGAUAAUUAUAUCCGUUUGGAGCCUACGCAGAAUAGCUUGAAUUGCAUGCUAUAAAGACAGAGGCUAUAGCAGAAAUGCAGUCAUAUUCUGCAACCGCGUCCUGAUUUUUGAGCCGUUUAGUGGAGGCUUUAGUGGAUCUACUGGCAGAAAUGCACGCACUCGAGGUGUUUUUUUCUUAACCUAAUAGCAAAUCCUGAUAUCAUGACUUAGUAAAAACCGGCCAGGUUGGUUGAAAAGAUCAAGGAUGUGGAUGUCACUGAUUGGAUUUAUUGCAUAUUCCUCGUUGCCCUUAAGACGAUGGUAGUGAGCUGUCUUUCUGAAUGAUGCAGUCCAUAACAGAACUCGGUCACAGUGUCAGCAUCGGCAGGAGUGAAUGGACCUAGCACAGACCUGAGUGGGCCCAGAAGCGUGGACAUAGCAAUGGCAUCAGUGGAGAGUUUGGGUUCCCACAGCUCCUGCAUCAUUGAGAUGGUCCUAACGCCAACUGAUGGCUGCUGCUGCAGAGAGGAGUUUGGGUUCCCAGUGGCAUCUGCAUGUAGUGCAGAUUCAUGGAGAUGGAGGCAAGUUUGGGCCCGUAGGAGACCCAGUGGCAUUAGCAGCAUCUGCAUCGGUGAGGUGGUCCUGAAGUGGAAUCAUGGUGGCAACAGUCAAAUUUGGGCUGGUUUGCAGCAUCAGUGUCAUGUACAUUGGCAAGGUCCAGCUAGGACUCAUAGUGGUGAGGAUAUUAGUGGAGGCAAGACGACGCUGAAGAGUGGUCACUUUCAUUCCUGUGGCGGUGACGUGCCGAAGGGGUCUCAUACCUGGCCACCAAGCCCAUGGCCCAUGACUGAGAAAUUAACAUGAAAGACUGAAAAGUUGGACACUGUGCUUAUUCAUUUUUCUGCCUUUAUAUUCAAUUAUUU